Molecule: ribosomal RNA, 393 nt
Filed under: uncultured bacterium
Lineage: Bacteria
Description: partial 16S ribosomal RNA
Rfam family: Bacterial small subunit ribosomal RNA
Source: RNAcentral
AUACGGAGGAUGCGAGCGUUAUCCGGAUUUAUUGGGUUUAAAGGGAGCGUAGGUGGGAUAUUAAGUCAGCUGUGAAAGUUUGGGGCUCAACCUUAAAAUUGCAGUUGAUACUGGUUUCCUUGAGUACGGUACAGGUGGGCGGAAUUCGUGGUGUAGCGGUGAAAUGCUUAGAUAUCACGAAGAACUCCGAUCGCGAAGGCAGCUCACCGGGCCGGAACUGACACUGAUGCUCGAAAGUGCGGGUAUCAAACGGGAUUAGAUACCCUGGUAGUCCGCACAGUAAACGAUGAAUACUCGCUGUUUGCGAUACACUGUAAGCGGCCAAGCGAAAGCGUUAAGUAUUCCACCUGGGGAGUACGCCGGCAACGGUGAAACUCAAAGGAAUUGACGGGG